AUUGAACGCUGGCGGCAGGCCUAACACAUGCAAGUCGAGCGGCAGCGGGAAAGUAGCUUGCUACUUUUGCCGGCGAGCGGCGGACGGGUGAGUAAUGCCUGGGGAUCUGCCCAGUCGAGGGGGAUAACAGUUGGAAACGACUGCUAAUACCGCAUACGCCCUACGGGGGAAAGGAGGGGACCUUCGGGCCUUUCGCGAUUGGAUGAACCCAGGUGGGAUUAGCUAGUUGGUGGGGUAAUGGCUCACCAAGGCGACGAUCCCUAGCUGGUCUGAGAGGAUGAUCAGCCACACUGGAACUGAGACACGGUCCAGACUCCUACGGGAGGCAGCAGUGGGGAAUAUUGCACAAUGGGGGAAACCCUGAUGCAGCCAUGCCGCGUGUGUGAAGAAGGCCUUCGGGUUGUAAAGCACUUUCAGCGAGGAGGAAAGGUUGUUGGCUAAUACCCAGCAAC
This 452-nucleotide ribosomal RNA is filed under the name Aeromonas sp. AE174. RNAcentral describes it as "bacterial SSU rRNA". It matches the Rfam family "Bacterial small subunit ribosomal RNA", at positions 30 to 468 of the family's 1533-position model. Lineage: Bacteria; Pseudomonadati; Pseudomonadota; Gammaproteobacteria; Aeromonadales; Aeromonadaceae. The record is from RNAcentral.